Long non-coding RNA from Antechinus flavipes (yellow-footed antechinus), 2665 nucleotides. RefSeq lists it as uncharacterized. The transcript has 2 exons. Lineage: Eukaryota; Metazoa; Chordata; Mammalia; Dasyuromorphia; Dasyuridae. The record is from RefSeq and is a predicted model, not a curated record.
GGAGCCUCUUUGCACAAGGGGCGGGUGAAAGGCUGGCUCUGGUAGUUACGUAAUGCGCGUGCGCGCCUGAGCCGGCGUCAGCGCCGUCGGACCCACUGCUUGCUGGGAGGGCCGCCGGGAAACCUUGGACCUUCUUGUCCUAUGCCACUUCACCAGAGUCCUUACCCGGCCGGAAUCAUUAGAAUAAAAUGCACUGUCGUCCACAACUUAAGGGGACGCUGGAAAAUUUCGUCGACCCAGCACUCGUAGAAGAUUCUGUCCUGUUCUUGCUCUCCGCACCCAGCACACGCGGCGGCCCCGACUCCCCAGUCCCCUAGGACGGAUUAGUUCCUCACAUACAAGCCUGGGGCAGUUGAGCACUAUUCAGCGGCCUCCCUUCAUCCUCCGCUCAGCUGUCAAAUUAAUCUUCCCAAAUCUUCCAGGCUCCUCAGGCACCCUUCUAUUCAAGAACCAUGACAUCGGGGAAGGGAUGCCAGGACAUGCAAGUGAAUUGAAUUUGAAGGAGGGAGCUGUCUUACUUUACCCUCCAGAGCCAUCUGGGUCAAGAUGCGGCCAAGAUACAGAUCAAGAGGACUGGAGAUGGCCCUGGAUGCAGUGCGAGACUUUGGCCUUUUUAAAUUAAGGUCUUAAACAGAUCUCAGUUUGAGUGAGGUAAAGUCCAAUCAGUAAUAAAGGCUCAAGAAUGGACUCUUUUACCUAGUUACUCCCUCUCCCCCCAAAAAAAUCAGUUUGGGAGCAGCAGGGUUUCUGGCACAAACCAAAACAAUUGCUAUUUACAUUCAGAGCCAAUUAGGGCCCAAACAAUGACAACUUGGGUGUGGCCUGGAACCUGUUGUUGGCUAGGAGAUUCUGGUUUGAGGCCAGGUGUUAUAACUUAAAGCAAGUGGUUUCAUUCUUUUCUGGAGAACUUACAGUUCUUGGAUAAAAGACCCGGUUGCUUUUAUUUAAAUAAACUGCUUUCACACUUAUAAAUAUGAUUGUUUCUCCUAGUCUCUUGCCCUAGACCAAAGAAUAUUUUCUUACUUUAAUAAAUCUUGUCAUUUGCAUUUCAAAUACUUUCCUUUUCUCCUUAAACUUCUUUUUCUAACACUUCUACUUCUGUGAUAACUUUUCCAUCCUAAAUUGCUGCAAGAAGCUGCUGACCGACAGUAUACUCCAAUUGGCCUCAAAAGGUUAUAAAAACCAAUCUGUACUCCAAGAAUCUUGAGUUUGUUUGCAGCAAGAAUAGAUUCUUUAGCAUGCUAAUUUCUUUACUUUCAGUUUGGCCUUCUAUCUUUGACCCAUAGUAACCAGGCCCCAAAUGAUUUGUCUGCCUUAAGAGGUCAAGAGAAUUCUCCAAUAGUAUCUUGUUUUCCCAACUACUGUGAGUAACUUAAGUGAAGUGGUUUUUUGCCUUUCUUUGUAUUCACUAAGCAAUGUGUCCCUAGUACAUAGGUGCUUAAUAAAUGCUAAUUGACAAAUUCAGAGACAAAUUAGAAAGAUGCUUCAGCCUUUAAAUAUGUUUCCCAACUUAGGUUAGUAAUGGAUAUUUUGAGAAGUUGGGAUUCUUGUAAGCAAAUACUUCUAUGUGAGACUAAAAUGAUAGAAGCAUGAAAAAUGAUUUUCUGGUUCAUCGAUGCUGUUUGUAAUUGCUCUCAAGAGCUUUAACAAUUUUCUCCAUCUAGAGAUAAUCAUUUUUUCUAAUAUUCUGAGACAUCACUCCAUUUUCCCAAUAAAGCAGCCUAACUGAUUAGUUAGUGUUGAUUUCUUUAAAAAAAAAAAAAAAAAGCCUUUGGAGCAUAAAUAAUGAUAUUUCACUAAGAAGUUAUUUUAGACCUGUUAAUGGAAACUAUUAUGUCCAAAAGUCACUUCCUUGCUUUUUCUGAUGAUGAACUUUUAGAGAAACAGUGAUUGGAAAUGAGGGAAGAGCCACAGUUUAUCUGUGGAAAAGUUUGUGGUUGCCCAUCAAACUCAUCCUAAUCUACCUCCCACCCAUCUUUUUGAACUGAUUUUCCUUUUCUUCAUGUCCACUAACCCAGUAUAGUUCUUGUCCAUGUUCUCCCAAAGAACAUGUUAGUCACUCACCAGUCCUUUUCAUCGCAAUCUACCUCCCACCUAUCUUUCUGAAUUGACUUUACUUUUCUUCGUGUUCUUUAAUCAUAUAUGAUUUUUUAAACACAUAUGUUCUCCCAUUGAUUCUCCACAGAAGAUCUGCCCAAACUGCUUGAAGCCUUUCUUUAGAUAUUUUUGUUUCAAGAGUACCAGUGGAAUAUUCUGACUGACUGGCUGGCUGUUCAUCCUUCAUUCUUGCUACAUGAUUGAAUUUCCAUUUCUAAUUGUUAAGUUCCUUAUUAUCCCUAACAUAACUUCUUAAACAUAGAUUAUAACUAUUAGCAUGUUGCUUGCCAUCAUUUUCUUUAUUGCUCUAUUUCAGUUGGGAUUUUCAGUCAGUCAAUAAAUGUGUGUGAAGCACUAUGUUAAGUAUUGUAAAUAUGAAGGCCAAAAAAAGUUACUUAUUCUUGUAAGAAUUGUUAAUCUAAUCAAUUCUUUGGAAAGUUUGGUGUUUUAAGUUCCAAAAUUAUCCAGUAUUCAUUAGUGGAAGUUCAUUUGUAUGGAAAUGAGGAUUUUGUGGCAGAGAGCACUAUGGAAUUUUUUUUUUUUUAAUUAUACAAUCUUUCAAAUACAA